GAUGAACGCUGGCGGCGUGCUUAACACAUGCCAGUCGAACGAUGAAGCCCAGCUUGCUGGGUGGAUUAGUGGCGAACGGGUGAGUAACACGUGAGCAACCUGCCCCUGACUCUGGGAUAAGCGCUGGAAACGGCGUCUAAUACUGGAUAUGUCCCGUCACCGCAUGGUGUGCGGGUGGAAAGAUUUUUCGGUUGGGGAUGGGCUCGCGGCCUAUCAGCUUGUUGGUGAGGUAAUGGCUCACCAAGGCGUCGACGGGUAGCCGGCCUGAGAGGGUGACCGGCCACACUGGGACUGAGACACGGCCCAGACUCCUACGGGAGGCAGCAGUGGGGAAUAUUGCACAAUGGGCGGAAGCCUGAUGCAGCAACGCCGCGUGAGGGAUGACGGCCUUCGGGUUGUAAACCUCUUUUAGCAGGGAAGGAGCGAAAGUGACGGUACCUGCAGAAAAAGCACCGGCUAACUACGUG
This 467-nucleotide ribosomal RNA is filed under the name uncultured bacterium. Its description in RNAcentral is "partial 16S ribosomal RNA". It matches the Rfam family "Bacterial small subunit ribosomal RNA", at positions 28 to 507 of the family's 1533-position model. The record is from RNAcentral.